AGAGUUUGAUCAUGGCUCAGAACGUACGCUGGCGGCACGCCUAACACAUGCAAGUCGAACGAAGUAGCAAUACUUAGUGGCGAACGGGUGAGUAUAAUGUGGGUAUCUGCCUUUUGGUUUGGAAUAACACGGGGAAACUUGUGCUAAUACCGGAUAAGCCUUCACAGGGAAAGUUUUAACGCCGAAAGAUGAGCCCGCACUUGAUUAGCUAGUUGGUAAGGUAAUGGCUUACCAAGGCUACGAUCAAUAGCUGAUCUGAGAGGAUGAUCAGCCACAUUGGGACUGAGACACGGCCCAAACUCCUACGGGAGGCAGCAGUGGGGAAUCUUGCACAAUGGGGGAAACCCUGAUGCAGCGAUGCCGCGUGAGUGAAGAAGGCCCUUGGGUUGUAAAGCUCUUUCGUCGGGGAAGAAAAUGACUGUACCCGAAUAAGAAGGUCCGGCUAACUUCGUGCCAGCAGCCGCGGUAAUACGAAGGGACCUAGCGUAGUUCGGAAUUACUGGGCUUAAAGAGCUCGUAGGUUGUUAGAAAAGUUGGUGGUGAAAUCCCAAGGCUUAACCUUGGAACUGCCACCAAAACUUUUUAACUAGAGUGUGAUAGAGGAAAGUGGAAUUUCUAGUGUAGAGGUGAAAUUCGUAGAUAUUAGAAAGAACACCAAUUGCGAAGGCAACUUUCUGGAUCAUUACUGACACUGAGGAGCGAAAGCAUGGGUAGCGAAGAGGAUUAGAUACCCUCGUAGUCCAUGCUGUAAACGAUGUGUGCUAGACGUUGGAAACUUAGUUUUCAGUGUCGCAGCAAAAGCGUUAAGCACACCGCCUGGGGAGUACGACCGCAAGGUUAAAAC
Molecule: ribosomal RNA, 844 nt
Filed under: marine metagenome
Description: bacterial SSU rRNA
Rfam family: Bacterial small subunit ribosomal RNA
Source: RNAcentral